Molecule: long non-coding RNA, 270 nt
Organism: Amblyraja radiata (thorny skate)
Lineage: Eukaryota; Metazoa; Chordata; Chondrichthyes; Rajiformes; Rajidae
Exons: 3
Source: RefSeq, a predicted model, not a curated record
CAACUCCUGUUUUUUUUCUCUUCUUCCCUGGCUCCAUUGAUUUAUUACCCUUCUCCAACCAGAAUGGUUAUCUAAACAAACCAUUAAAGCUGGUCGUGUUUCAGUAAUUAACUUAUUUCCCCUUUUUAAUUGAGAUGUUUACCUCACAGCUGAGGGUAGCUGUAAAAAAACUUCACCCCCCUGCUUACAGUUUUUUUUUAAAGGGACGCACACCUACACUUAUAACAUGUGAUUUACAACAAAUAAAAGACUUAACUUCAGCAUUCAUUC